This is a long non-coding RNA of Gallus gallus (chicken), 2203 nucleotides long. NCBI's taxonomy places the organism in Eukaryota, Metazoa, Chordata, Aves, Galliformes, Phasianidae. The record is from Ensembl.
UUUUUGGAGGUCACUCCUGUUGGAGUUUUUCCUGAGAGCCUAUGACUUGGACACAUUCGUCUGUCUUUUCUACUUUUACCGGGAAGAGUAUGUCUUAACUAACAAGGAGAACAGUGCCAGGGGAGCAGAAGCGAUCUGGCUACAGUGAUGAACAGCUUGCAAGUUAAGGUCACAAAUCCAUGAUCAUCUCUCAACAAAAAAAGAGUAUCUAACACGUCAUUAGACAGAAGCUACCAACUGUUUGACCUGAUCUUAAACAUGGAUUCAUCUCUAACAAAGAUCAUGUUAUUAAGGAGUAUCAUCUAUCAGAAGAGCCUUCAGCACCUCGGAAGGUGUGUGUUGUCUUUCUUCUCUGGGGUAUCAAAGUGAUUCUUCUCCAACCACAAGGAACACAGCAGAUCAGUUCAAGGGCAAGGAUACUCAGGCAAGAGUCAAUUCCCCUCAUCAAGGAACUUGUCACACUAGUUAUUAUUGAAAGCUACCUAUAAGAAAGUUUGAUAGCUCUUACAGAUACUUGCGCAUCAGGUGUUUUUGUUGCUCAUUUCCAGCUUACUCUGAGAAGAUUGCUCUCAUAAGGACCUGAAUCAAUGGUACCAGAUGAUUGUAUUGUGAAGGCCAGGGUAAAAUGCUAAUCUUAUGUCACUUUGCAGGAAAGAUACCAGAUUUGUGACUCUGAGGAACUUGGACAAAACGGGUGUACCCAUGGUUAUGGAUAUGGAAGUCUGGAUUCUACACAUGCUUUAUCCUGCUUUCUAGCAAGUAAAAGAGAUUCUAGGGAAGAAUUAGUAAAACUAUUAAGGAGGCAACAUGUUGUCAAGUAUAAAGUAGGACUGUAGCUCUUGUUUUCCUGGCUCUCCAAUUAUAUUUCUAAUCCAAAAACUAGACCCUAAUUUUAUGUCUUGCUGAAGGCAAGUUUUGUUUAACUAGUAUUGGAGGGAAAGCCAAGCAAAUAAAAAACAGCUUAGUGCCUUCUCUCCCUUUCAGGUAACAAAUAACCCAAAUAAGAUGAAUAGGUACUGAAGUGAACCUGACCUUAAGAUCCUCUGAUGGAUUUAGAAACUGGAAAAUGCUACCAGAAGAUACUGCCACAGUUUUUUAUUUGCAGUUGUGUAAAAUACUUAUUUAUAAUAGUUCCAUGUACCUGAGGGUAGGAACUUUCUUGGUUCUCUGUGGGCUUAAGACAGGUGCACUUUUGUGGUGAAGACCACUUCUGGCAUCUUAUUUGCCUGGUAUUGUGGGUACAAAAUAAAGCAACUCUGUUGGCCUGACGUGAAUUUCUUUUCUAUCUUCAUAGAAAAAAAUGACCAGACUAAACAAAAUAUGUGUUAAUUUCCAAGUUUUGCUAGAGAACUUUGACAGAAAGCUGUUCUUUCAAGAACAAGCUAGCAGCUAACACAAAUGGUAUGAGCAUGGAAAUGGGGCUAGAGUGGUGGAGAUCAUUCUCACAAGGCACUGUGUGUCAAAGAUUCACUGAAUUUUGGUUGGUGAAACAUGUUUUCUCUAAAUCACUUAAUACAAUCUACUUUCAUUGUGAGCAUGUGAGAAACAGAUUUAGCCUCUUGACCUCCAUGGCUUGGAACAGCCUGUGACAAUAACUUAAACUCUAAGGUAGAGAGAGCACUGGACUUCCUAGCAGCACAGAGCUCUAGCUACAAGGAAGUACACUGUGUGUGCUUUCUCUGAAGUGCAUGAUUGGGUCUGGAGAGAGACACUUUGACACAGACUGCUUUUGAGAACAGAUUGUAAAAGGCUUUGUUUCCAUUCCACUGCAAAAUGGCAAAAGACUUCAAAAUAUUGAAUAGUGUCAGGAAAUGGGCUUUCAACCUUUAGUUAAGCUUCCGUCAUCCCACUGCUCCAUUCAGAUUAAAUUAUUUUGAACAAAUAUUUUCAGGAGAACAGAGAAAAUAUAAAAAGUACUAUGUAAUACAUAGAAUGUUGUUCCAUAUGUCAGUGCUGUUUUACUUGUUAUACUCACUGUUAAGUUUAUGAGCAUCUUAUUGUUAUACAGCAUGAUGAAAAUGAAUUCUAAAUAGAGUAUCAAAAUUAAAAACAUAUGACGUCUGUUGACAGCAUCUGUUUUCCUUGUAUUUUUAUUCCUUGUCUGAUGCACCCGAAUAUUUUAUCAAUGCAUUGGAAGUGCAAGAAAAAUCUUUUCUUGAUCACUCACACCGCUGAGAUCCUAAGGAAAGAAUUUUCCAUGUGC